AGAAUGUCCGUGCUCUCGAAUCGAUAAUAAAUUUAUAGUUUCACGACGAAAAGCUAAGUAUGUCAGGAUGCAAAAAAACAGUAAAAAGCACGCGAACACUGAAAAAGAAUUGCGCGGAACGUGAAUCGCGAUAUUUCCAUAUAACGCGAUAUCAGAAGCUAGUGACGCUAGCUUUCUCAAGUUCGAGACCCGUUGAGACCCGUCGAGACAAGAUUACGACGUGUUACACCAAAGUUCUGAAUAAUCCAAUAACGCUUCAUAGUAUAAUAAUAUCCUGAUCGUAAUAUCAUUAAGGUACAAGAUCAUUAUAAAAAGUCGAGACUUUUUCUAAUGCCGGCAAACACCCACCGCACGGGUAUAUGCAGAUAUUCUUCGAAUUUGACCCAGAAAUUUUGAAGACAUCUUCAAGUUUCGAACAUGGUCAUUAUUUCUUUAAGCAGUGUAAAGUUUAAGCAACUACUUUCAAACGCCUGACGAAUGGCAAUCAAUUUGCAAUUGAUUCGCCACUCAUCACUAGAUAGCGAUUGAACUCGACAGCCGCAGCAUAAUUUCGAAGAGCAAUCUAAUCAAUUUACGUCUUCAAGAAGGCCGCUUCGCCUCGACCACUUACAGGACAGAGGAAGGACGAGGAGCGAUCCUGAUUUAUCCGACAAAAAUCUUCGUUGCUUGCAAUUUCCGACGAGAAGUCUGCGGUAUCCAGCUUAUCAAUGUCUGCGAAACCCAAGUUUAAGAAGUCACCUGCGGAACCCGGCAAUAUGAGAAUGCCACAUGGAAGCCUGCAACGGAACCCUCAGGGGAUUUCGAGUUUUUCCCGAUCGGCGCUUCGAAUUCUUUCUCUGGCUUCACCACCACCUCACGAGAGAGGCACGCUGCCAAAUAUACCGAUUCACCGAGGCAUUUUGGUACUACCGCAAACAAUACCGAUCGGUCUGUACAGACGGAGCCAAUCAUACAGAUUCAUCGAACUAUCCAAGCAGGAUCGCAAACAAUCAAUCGGUCCAUACAGACGCAGCAGACGGACCGCUCUUCUGUUACUACUUCAGCUCUGCGUUUAUCACUGCGGAGCCUUACUCAGCGCCGACUACGACGCAUGAGGCAAUGUCGACGAUAGUACGGGCAUUCUGAUUCUGAGAGCGAAAUCACCAGGGACGACGAAGAGGUGAACAAGCGACUGUACAACACUUACAAUUAGCGACUGAACACCAGUUGCCAAAUCUAGAGGGAGAACCAGAUCCGACACAAAUUAAUCUGACAGGAUCAUCUCUCAUUUGCAUAUACAACCGUCCUUUUCAGGACGACCAUGAUGAUCAGAACAAUUGUCUAGGCGGUAAUCCUAGUCUGCAGUGACCCCUUGGAAAAACUAUUACGCGGGAAUAUUCUUUCGAGAGAUCGCCACGCUGCGCCGAUGUAGUGCCCCGAACGAAUAAGCUGGCGACCCAUCACGAUCGAAACAUCGUUGGUCUCCCUUCUCGGUACUUUAUCCGAUUAACGGCGUAAUAGCGAAACUAUGGAUAGCGUAAUCGCGGUUUAAGUUUGGUCCAGUUGUUUAUCGCCCCUCUCGCGCCCAUACAUACGACUACGACCGCGCAUGCACGCCUAUAUGCACCGAAGUCACCGUAUCGCGCGCUCGCCGUGUGUUUGCCAAUUUCAAUGCAAAUAUAGAAGAUCUUCCUCGGUCUCUGCAAACGUAUCACCUCGCUCUAACCUAUUGGCCUUGCCACGCGGUGUGUUUGCGCUCUCGAACGACCGCCGCGGUGCAAUGCUGAGCGGCCCCAGGCUUGAUACGGCUCGAAUGCACUCGCGCAGUUUAGCCCGAAUGUAUUUCCGCCGCCGCGGAGCGUAAAUCUUUUUU
Long non-coding RNA from Trachymyrmex septentrionalis, 1852 nucleotides. RefSeq lists it as uncharacterized. The transcript has 4 exons. NCBI's taxonomy places the organism in Eukaryota, Metazoa, Arthropoda, Insecta, Hymenoptera, Formicidae. The record is from RefSeq and is a predicted model, not a curated record.